GCUGGGGCUCAGUGGUAGAGCACUCCCUUAGCAUGUGUGAGGCACUGGGUUCUAUCCUCAGCACUGCA
RNAcentral lists this transfer RNA (68 nucleotides) under Marmota monax (woodchuck). RNAcentral describes it as "tRNA.Ala". Lineage: Eukaryota; Metazoa; Chordata; Mammalia; Rodentia; Sciuridae. The record is from RNAcentral.